UCUGGAGUUCAUAGUGUGCUGUUCGUCUUGGACCAGAUCUAGAACUGUUCUCAACAGUUUAUGUAGUCAUAAAUCCUAUUGUAUUCAUUGAAAUCUGUUGACUUUGUAUACCAUUCCAUUGUAAAUAAACGAUCUUAGCAUAGAUCCUUUGGAGUCUUGA
This is a long non-coding RNA of Ipomoea nil (Japanese morning glory), 160 nucleotides long. RefSeq lists it as uncharacterized. The record is from RefSeq and is a predicted model, not a curated record. The transcript has 3 exons. Lineage: Eukaryota; Viridiplantae; Streptophyta; Magnoliopsida; Solanales; Convolvulaceae.